AUGGCUCAGGAUGAACGCUAGCUACAGGCUUAACACAUGCAAGUCAGGGGCAGCAUGUGGUUGCUUGCAACCAAUGAUGGCGACCGGCGCACGGGUGAGUAACGCGUAUCCAACCUCCCCUUAGUAGAGGAUAGCCCGGCGAAAGUCGGAUUAAUACUCUAUGUUCUUCAAUGCGGGCAUCUAAGUUGAAGCAAAGAUUUAUCGCUAAGGGAUGGGGAUGCGUCUGAUUAGGUUGCAGGCGGGGUAACGGCCCACCUGGCCUACGAUCAGUAGGGGUUCUGAGAGGAAGGUCCCCCACACUGGUACUGAGACACGGACCAGACUCCUACGGGAGGCAGCAGUGAGGAAUAUUGGUCAAUGGGCGCGAGCCUGAACCAGCCAAGUAGCGUGCAAGGACGACUGCCCUAUGGGUUGUAAACUGCUUUUAUCAGGGAAUAAAGUGAGGCACGCGUGCCUUUUUGUAUGUACCUGAUGAAUAAGGACCGGCUAAUUCCGUGCCAGCCGCCGC
Molecule: ribosomal RNA, 508 nt
Filed under: uncultured bacterium
Lineage: Bacteria
Description: bacterial SSU rRNA
Rfam family: Bacterial small subunit ribosomal RNA
Source: RNAcentral